Jatropha curcas is the source of this 544-nucleotide long non-coding RNA. RefSeq annotates it as putative carboxylesterase 7. NCBI's taxonomy places the organism in Eukaryota, Viridiplantae, Streptophyta, Magnoliopsida, Malpighiales, Euphorbiaceae. The record is from RefSeq and is a predicted model, not a curated record.
AAAUCCUUUCUAAUCUUCUCUCUCUCUUCCACUCAACCCUCCAUCCUCAUCCUCUCUCUCUCUUUUCCUCUGAUAUCUAGCAGAUCCAUAGUCAAAGAUCUCAACUUUAUACAAAAGCAGAUCCAGUUUUCCAUCAAAAAGGAAUAAGAAAGCAAAUGGAUGGUGAACAGAAAGUUUUCAUCUUGGCUGAAGUGUCCGAGCACAACAAGCGUAAAGACUGUUGCGGCAAGCAUCGAAUCAUGUAUUUAAUAAAGAGGAGGAUAGCGGAGCUUCAUCAGCAGCGACAGCGGCAUCAGCAUCAAAGUAUGAGGACUGGACUAUAAAGAGGAGGAGGAUGGUUGCUGGACCUAUAGGAACCCAGGAGAUGCAAAGAAUCUUUGUAAUCGAUUGGAUUUGUUAAUUUGGGGAUUGUGCGAGUUUUAUUGGAAAAGUUUUAGGUUCAAUUGACUGGUUUCAAAAUUGUUGGAAAUUGAUUAAACAAGAUCUGAUUUUGGAUUUUUGAUGUUCAUUAUUUUCUUGAAGCCACUAGAAAAUCUUUUUGCUA